UUUUUUUUUUUUUUUUUUUAGACAGAGUCUCGUUCUGUCACCCAGGCUGGAGUGCAGAGGUACAAUCUCAGCUCACUGCAACCUCCACCUCCUGGGUUCAAGUGAUUCUCCUGCCUCAGCCUCCCGAGUAGCUGGGAUUACAGGCAUAUGCCACCACUCCUGGCUAAUUUUUGUAUUUGUAGUAGAGAUGGAGUUUUGCUAUGUAGGCUGGUCUCGAACUCCUGACCUCAGGUGAUCCGCCUGCCUCAGCCUCCCUAAGUGCUGGGAUUACAGAUGUGAGCCACCACGCCUGGGCUAAUGUCACCAUCAUUUGAGACAGGUGAAUGCAGUACAGCAGAAUUGCAAAGAAACUUGCCUUGUCCUCAGGACCGCUCCUGCGAAUGCCUGGGCCUAUAGACCUCUUGCUCCCGUCCCUGGAGGAAUUUUGAGUAGGUCUCAUAAUUUUCAUAAUUUUUCUUGUCACUUUUACAUCAUAAAAUAUUAUCUUGCCACUUUUAGUCAUUACAAAUUAUCAUUUUAGUAAUUAAAUGCCUGGCCCGGUAUAAUAGCAAAAGUAGUGAAACCAAGGGACUCCCCUCUCCAGUUCAGAUCCGCAGGGGGGGAAGGGGCUAGGGUUUCUCCUUGCCGGCUCUCCAUCAUCCGCCCCCUGCGACGCCCGGCAUCUGAUCCUCCUCUCCUCCAUCAAAAUGUGGCUAUAGCCAAGCCUGUUUCCAAUAACUUCUUUCCAGGCUGUUAUUUGGAUUGCUUUCCAAAACAUUCCUAAGAAAGAACACGUUGCAUGCUGCAUAUUCUCAGGGAUUUUGCUUUGCUGGGGAGAGGAGCAGGAGGUUCAGGUGGCGUGGGCAUAUUCUUAUCAGUGUCUGGGACUGAACCUCCCAUGUCUUCUGAGAUGGACAUUUGCAGAGUUCUUACUGAGAACCCCCAGUAUAGUUCAGCAGUGCUUGGACCACCUAAGCUGGAGAGCCCAGCACUCCCUCCCUCUCCUCCUGCCUUGCUUACUGUUGUGUUCCAAGUUCCUCCAAGAGACGUGUUUCGGUUGUGCAGGUUCACUCACACCCAGUAUGGCUCACACCUGGUGGGCAGAGCUCGGCCUAGGCAUGAGCUGGACCUGCUUAAAGCCAGUCUUCUGGGCUUGUUGUAGAGGGAUGGAGUUACAGAAAUUACCAGGGCAGAGGCACUAGGGGGUUUGGGGUGUGAGGUGGGGUAGAGAAGUGAAAGGAUCACUUGAGCCCAGGAGUUCGAGGCUACAGUGAGCUGAGAUCACACCACUGCACUUCAGCCAGGGCAACAGAGCAAGAUCCUGUCUCAAAACAAACAAACAAACAGACAAACAAAAACAGAAGUUGGUGU
RNAcentral lists this long non-coding RNA (1350 nucleotides) under Macaca fascicularis (crab-eating macaque). RNAcentral's name for it is "lncRNA (ENSMFAG00000051532.1)". Lineage: Eukaryota; Metazoa; Chordata; Mammalia; Primates; Cercopithecidae. The record is from RNAcentral.